RNAcentral lists this transfer RNA (83 nucleotides) under archaeon. RNAcentral describes it as "tRNA-Leu". It matches the Rfam family "tRNA". Rfam says of the family: Transfer RNA (tRNA) molecules are approximately 80 nucleotides in length. The record is from RNAcentral.
GCGGGUAUGCCGGAGUGGUCAAACGGGUCAGGUUUAGGACCUGAUAGCUUAUGCUUACUUAGGUUCGAAUCCUAAUACCCGCA